RNAcentral lists this long non-coding RNA (234 nucleotides) under Malus domestica (apple). RNAcentral's name for it is "long non-coding RNA (MDOM_LNC009576)". Lineage: Eukaryota; Viridiplantae; Streptophyta; Magnoliopsida; Rosales; Rosaceae. The record is from RNAcentral.
UCAAAACACAAAAUAAAACAGAUUUGAAUGACUAAGAUUCAACAAAAUAUGGGGGGAUUGUGUUUGGACGAAAUUAAAUUAAAUGGGCAGAUUGUAAGACAAAAUUGUGAUGAAUCAAUGGAUGAUGGAAUAGUUAAGGGGCUCUUCUCCACACAUGAAAUAUAUGCAACGUAAAUCAAUUUCCAGUUAUCAAUUUAAUAAGUUAUGAACCUCGACACUCCAAGUUAAUUAGGU